UGCUGAAUUAUGUGAAAUAGUAGAAGUGAAAGUUAAAGACAAACUGAAUUUACACAGAAAAAAACCCAAACAAGUGAAAAAAAUUACAGCUGAACUGUGUGUUUUGCUGAUCACACAUCGAAGCCAAAAUCAAGGUUCCCUCACCUCUGCCUCGGAGCCUUGAUGACUUGUGUUCACUCCAGUAUAGAAUUUGCUUUUUCCACUUGUAAACAUGCUCUUUCCACAUAGUCAGGGUUCCCACUGCCAUCAGUGUGUUGGACUGCUGCAGUUCUCCUUGCUUUGAUUUUGUGCCUGAUGAGUUUGUUUGGGUUAUAAUUGUCUGUUAAGCAUAUACAUUAAUUUUAAAUAGAGAGUUUUGCCAUGUUUACAUAGGGCUGGUACUGCUUACAGCCUUGUUUAAACAUUUUUGUUCAAUUUGCAGAUUUCUUUUCAGACUACACAUGCUGUUUGCAAUUUGUUUGAUUGAGUCUGUGUAUACAUGCAAACUCUUCAUCUGCCCUGGAUCUGUGUAGCUUAUUUGCUAACAGCUUUAGUUCUUGUUCUGUUCCCUUCAUCACAUCAGAAUAAGAAUACCUUAAAUAAUUAUCUCAUCUUCUCACAGGACAAAAGUAUUAUUUUUCCUCAAUUUAGAAAUAAGCUUCAGAGGAAUAAAAUGCUUUGCCCAAUGACAUAAACAACCAGACAUGCAAGUAAAUAUCUUUACAUAGCUGUUUUUGUUCUCAAACAAAACUUAAGACAUUGCAAGUUUACCCACUCUAAACAACAUUGCAAAAGCUGUCUUUUGACAAAAAAUCCCAGCUGUAAUAGCGUCAAUAUAUGGGCUUUUUGCUAUAAUGGUUUGCUUAGAAUAGAAAUGGAUAAGAAGGUUCAGUCACCUUCAUGUGGCCAAACUGAUGUCUAAGUAUAUAUCUGUGGUGCAGGGAUCUAGCAAAAAGCACAAGUGCCAGAUAGAUGAGUGUUUGGAGCCAGAUUCUAUUAGCAUGACUAAGGAAAAGUUUAAAUUGGAUCUUAUUUCUCAAAGCAGUGUUUCUUUUUCCAGUGCAUCUGCUUGUGUUGGUGUUCUUGCCAUAGGUUCAAGUGUUUCAAUGGACAGGAGACUUUAAGCUGUAUUGGUGUGCUGAGCCUCUAAAAGGUCAUUCAUCUUUUUCAGUGUAAUUCAGAAACAGCCCCUUGAAAUGGAAGGCUUGGAGAUUUUUGGUUUGUGUUCUUUUUACCUCUUGGCAGUUAUUACUUCACAAAACCAGAGGAAUCCUGACUUCUCUCCAGGAGAGUUUUUAAAGAUCCUUAUGUUAGCACAUGGUCUGAGACCAAAUCAAAGCAUUUCAACCAUUUCAAAGUAAAACCAGGAACGUGACAUAAUAGGAAGGAGACCAUGUGAACUGGUAUGCUAAUAAAUUGGCUGAAUCAAAAAGCAAUCCUGUGUAUCCAGGAAGGAGAAGUAUAAAAUAUCAAAAGCAGUCAUUGGAGAGAGAAACUUCAGAAACAAAAAUGGGAGUGGAAAUGACAGAGACAUUCUGUGUUGGUGAUUCCUAUUGUCUUCUUAUUGCACUUAUUUUCCAAUGCCUCCUUGCCUAUUUGUCUUUCCAAACGUGGACUUCAGAAAACUGCAAUCCCCCCCAUAAUUUCUCUGCAAAGUAGUGGAUCAGUAUCAGUUUAUGUCAAAAAAGAGCUCUAGGUCAGUCAAGAGAAUGGCCACAGACUUCAGCUGAGGCAUUGCAGCCACUCAGAUGAAUUUGGGUGGUUUGUAUUUGUCAGAACUGGUCCUGCCGUACAUCUCAUCAAGUAUGGUCUUUUCAGGUGUAAAGCUUACACAAAUUACAAUUCCUAGUCCAACCUUUCUUACUAAUGGAAAAAGAUACUCCUUUGCCCUUGAAAAACAGAAAUCUCUUGAGCAUAUUUAAAGGCAGAAAGAGCCAGGCCUGCAAGUGAUUUCUGCUCCCCCUCCCCCCUCAUCUGUUCUACACUGUAAAUAAUUUUCAAUUGCCAAAAUGUCAUAGCAAAUGAGGAGAAGGAGAAGUUUAUAAAACAGCAGGAGCACAGGAAUACAGAAGAAAUGAGACUGAUUUAUAUUUGUUAUGUACAUAUGAAGGAAGGAGGAAAUGUUAAAUACCUCUUUUCUCCAUUAGAUCUUUUUCUCGGCUGUGUUUUUGGGGUUUUUUUGCACAGGGCUGCUGUUGGUCAUAUGUUUUCUUGAAAUGUAAAAUAAACUCUUCUUGAACCCCGUGGUUAGAAUUGCAUCUGUGGCAUUCCCAUGUUUACCCAAGGUUUUGUUUUCAGGCUUUCUGAUGUCACCAGAAUCAAAUAAUGGGAGUUCAUGUGCUGGAGCUCAAUUCAUUGCAUUUUUAUCUUGAUGAAUUUUCAAUGUGGGAGACGUUUUUGAUCCAGCUGCUGAUUGGCUGCAAAAGAAAAGUCCUUCCCGAGAGCAAUAGGUUUAACUGCUCACUUCACUGCUCGCUUUGCAAUGUCCAAGCUGAGCAAACUGAACUGCUGUUCACCUUUUGUGUUCUGCUCACUGUCCAAAAUCUUCACAGGGUCACAGAGGAAAACAAUGAUUUGCCCUUUCUGUCAAAGCAGAUGUUCCACUUUACUCCUGCUUAGAAGCAGAGGGGAGCCCAGGGGUCCACAGUAAAAAAGCAUUAGGUUAAAAGCAGAUUCAAGUUCCAGGCAGUCUGAGACUCCCAUAAAUAACCCUCCUUGGAGAGUAAUGAAAUUUAAGGAGAUAAUUAAUUGACAGUAUCUUUUUGAUGCCAUUGAAAUGUGCAUUCACUACCAAGAUACAUUUCUUCUAUUUAUACUGGCAGCUUUAGAAACACUGCUUUAUUUUAUGGUCGUGUACCCAAACUCUGUCCCAAAGACACUGGAGGUAAAUUAGGGGCUCAUAGGACCUGUGCCUUCCCUGAGCAAGCAUGAAAAUACCUCUUUGUAUGUAGUGUGCUUUCAAUAUGGAUUAAUACUGCACCUAAAAUACAGCAGGGUUGUUUAUGGCAAUAACCUCACAAGCAGAGACCUUUUGACUAUAUCAACAUAGGAAAACUCCUUUGUAACAUUCCAUCUACAUAAGAUUUGUGUCAUGCUCUCAAGUGAAGUGUCAUUAUCACUAUUUAAAAUUGCUCUACUUGUAAGAGGUGCAACUUCAGAUAUAAAACUUUGCACUGUUAUCACCUGAAUGACUAACUUUCUGAAAUAUAAAUGCAUGAAUCAGUGUCUUUUGAAUGUAUAUAAGAGUUUUCUUUCACUGAUAAGCCAGCCCUGUAAGCACUUAGGUACAUGUGUCUGUCUUAUUGUGUAGUCCUGUAAACUUCCAUGGAUCUCUGAGUUAAAAAAGCUCUCUCACUACAAAAUUCCUCACCUGAUUACAGUCCUGAUGUAGUCUCCAAGCUGCACAGGUCAGGUUUGAUGAAAAACUGUAAAAACCAACAAGUGUGUUUUCUUGUAAUAAAAGCUCUAACAGUGCAUACUGCUAUGUCAGCAUAGUUCAGAGAGGUGAAUAUGCAACAUUGUGACAUGUGUCACAAUUUUUAUUUUUAUUGCAAGAAUGUACAAAAUGCUGAAUGGGGCUGGUUGAGUUUUUAUGGCAUGGUCAGUGAAUAUUUCCUCCUUUGAAAAUGUUAAAUUUUUUGCUAUAUUUCAGUUAUAUUUUAACUAGCAUGAAAUACUACUUAUUCUAGUAAGUAAUUUCGUCUGUGUACUUGGCUAAGCUACAACAGAGUAAUGGCUGUCUAUAUAUUGGUGCUCAAUUUAAUACUGGUAUCAGCCUUUGUUUGGAAGAAUGGAAUGUAAGAGAAGUGUAAAACAAAAAUGUGGCUGAUUUUCUUACAUAGUUUUUUCCUACCCAUACCUUUGUCUUACAUGGAAUUCCUUGUUGAGAAGAAUAAAAGAAUCUAUAAAGCUGAA
This is a long non-coding RNA of Serinus canaria (Common canary), 3894 nucleotides long. RefSeq lists it as uncharacterized. The transcript has 2 exons. Lineage: Eukaryota; Metazoa; Chordata; Aves; Passeriformes; Fringillidae. The record is from RefSeq and is a predicted model, not a curated record.